Molecule: ribosomal RNA, 253 nt
Filed under: uncultured bacterium
Lineage: Bacteria
Description: partial 16S ribosomal RNA
Rfam family: Bacterial small subunit ribosomal RNA
Source: RNAcentral
UACAGAGGUCUCAAGCGUUGUUCGGAUUCAUUGGGCGUAAAGGGUGCGUAGGUGGCGUCGUAAGUGGGGUGUGAAAGCCCCGGGCUCAACCUGGGAAUUGCAUUCGAGACUGAAUAGCUAGGGUACGGUAGAGGGAAGUGGAAUUCCCGGUGUAGCGGUGGAAUGCGUAGAGAUCGGGAAGAACAUCAGUGGCGAAGGCGGUCUGCUGGGCCGUUGCUGACGCUGAGGCGCGACAGCGUGGGGAGCAAACAGG